CCAACGCAAGCGGACCGCCAUGCUUUGUGGGGCCCUGCUUAAGGACCGGAACCCAACUGAAGUUACAAUCGCGUUAAUUCAAAACUCCUACUUAUGAUGCAAGCGAUCGACUGGAGGUCAUGGAGCGGUAAGUUAUUAGUCCUGCGAGGGUGUUGUGUCGAAAGUGCACCGGCAACAGCCGGCGAUCCAAAAGAUGAAGCACUUCGCCCUCGUCGCCGCUGCCUCCGCCGCUGUCACUGCCUCCUCCUCCGUUGCUCUCUCCGCUGCCGCCGAUUGUAGCGUUUCUAAUAAGACUAAUACCCAUAAGGGUUCGAUUUCGUCUGGAUCUAUAAGGGGCGUCCAAAAAAAGGGGAUAAUUUUUCCGAGGUUAGAUGGGCUCAGAUUCAUAGAAACGCUUGUGACGGCUCACAGAUAGAUCAUCUUUGUUUUAGUGUUCGGUAGAGAUGUGAUUUGAGAGAGGAAAGUUUAUCAGUUUUCUGAGGCUGUUGUUGUAAUCUAUUUGUAUUUUUGCAAGAAGUUAUGGUUUAGCAUUUGGUGUUUUAAAAUCCAAACAAGUGUUGGUAUUGUUAGUGCAAUUUUUGAUUUUGCGAC
Long non-coding RNA from Asparagus officinalis (garden asparagus), 591 nucleotides. RefSeq lists it as uncharacterized. The record is from RefSeq and is a predicted model, not a curated record. NCBI's taxonomy places the organism in Eukaryota, Viridiplantae, Streptophyta, Magnoliopsida, Asparagales, Asparagaceae. The transcript has 2 exons.